This 492-nucleotide ribosomal RNA is filed under the name uncultured bacterium. RNAcentral's name for it is "partial 16S ribosomal RNA". It matches the Rfam family "Bacterial small subunit ribosomal RNA", at positions 29 to 507 of the family's 1533-position model. The record is from RNAcentral.
AGUGAACGCUGGCGGUAGGCCUAACACAUGCAAGUCGAACGGCAGCACAGUAAGAGCUUGCUCUUACGGGUGGCGAGUGGCGGACGGGUGAGGAAUACAUCGGAAUCUACUUUUUCGUGGGGGAUAACGUAGGGAAACUUACGCUAAUACCGCAUACGACCUACGGGUGAAAGCAGGGGAUCUUCGGACCUUGCGCGAUUGAAUGAGCCGAUGUCGGAUUAGCUAGUUGGCGGGGUAAAGGCCUACCAAGGCGACGAUCCGUAGCUGGUCUGAGAGGAUGAUCAGCCACACUAGAACUGGGCCACGGUCCAGACUCCUGCGGUAGGCAACAGUGGCGAAUAUUGGACAAUGGGCGCAAGCAUGAUCCAGCCAUACCGCGUGUGUGAAGGAGACCUUCGGGUUGUAAAGCCCUUUUGUUGGGAAAGAAAAGCAGCAGGUUGAUACCCCGCUGUUCUGACGGUACCGAAAGAAUAAGCACCGGCUAACUUCGUG